RNAcentral lists this ribosomal RNA (492 nucleotides) under uncultured bacterium. Its description in RNAcentral is "partial 16S ribosomal RNA". It matches the Rfam family "Bacterial small subunit ribosomal RNA", at positions 29 to 507 of the family's 1533-position model. The record is from RNAcentral.
AGUGAACGCUGGCGGUAGGCCUAACACAUGCAAGUCGAACGGCAGCACAGUAAGAGCUUGCUCUUACGGGUGGCGAGUGGCGGACGGGUGAGGAAUACAUCGGAAUCUACUUUUUCGUGGGGGAUAACGUAGGGAAACUUACGCUAAUACCGCAUACUACCUACGGGUGAAAGCAGGGGAUCUUCGGACCUUGCGCGAUUGAAUGAGCCGAUGUCGGAUUAGCUAGUUGGCGGGGUAAAGGCCCACCAAGGCGACGAUCCGUAGCUGGUCUGAGAGGAUGAUCAGCCACACUGGAACUGAGACACGGUCCAGACUCCUACGGGAGGCAGAAGUGGGGAAUAUUGGACAAUGGGCGCAAGCCUGAUCCAGCCAUACCGCGUGGGUGAAGAAGGCCUUCGGGUUGUAAAGCCCUUUUGUUGGGAAAGAAAAGCAGCAGGUUAAUACCCCGCUGUUCUGACGGUACCCAAAGAAUAAGCACCGGCUAACUUCGUG